CCUACGGGAGGCAGCAGUCGAGAAUCAUUCACAAUGGGGGAAACCCUGAUGGUGCGACGCCGCGUGGGGGAAUGAAGGUCUUCGGAUUGUAAACCCCUGUCAUGUGGGAGCAAAUUAAAAAGAUAGUACCACAAGAGGAAGAGACGGCUAACUCUGUGCCAGCAGCCGCGGUAAUACAGAGGUCUCAAGCGUUGUUCGGAAUCACUGGGCGUAACGCGUGCGUAGGCUGUUUCGUAAGUCGUGUGUGAAAGGCGCGGGCUCAACCCGCGGACGGCACAUGAUACUGCGAGACUAGAGUAAUGGAGGGGGAACCGGAAUUCUCGGUGUAGCAGUGAAAUGCGUAGAUAUCGAGAGGAACACUCGUGGCGAAGGCGGGUUCCUGGACAUUAACUGACGCUGAGGCACGAAGGCCAGGGGAGCGAAAGGGAUUAGAUACCCUAGUAGUC
Molecule: ribosomal RNA, 446 nt
Filed under: uncultured bacterium
Lineage: Bacteria
Description: partial 16S ribosomal RNA
Rfam family: Bacterial small subunit ribosomal RNA
Source: RNAcentral